GCAAAUUCUCGUUGGUCUUCACACGUUAAAAUGCUUGCCAGGCAACGUACUGGUUUGCUGCUAACGUAGUGAAGAUUGAACUAAACAGCUAUGAAAUCCUCUUUUAAGUUAAAUUCGCGAGUUUGGGUACUAGGUUCAGUUGAGUUGACCCAGGUAAUUGCCUAAAUAACUUGAUCCUCGUAUUGGGCACUCUCUCCCUGUAAAAAUACUCAAAUGAUGUAUUGCUGCUUUAUAUAUCCAAAGCAUGUCCAAAUGGCAGUUUGCAAAUUCGACAGUCACCUCCGGUUCACUUAAAUCAACUCCACCACAUUAUCAGUAGCUCUUCCCAAUUUCUGUUUUACAUUUUGGGAUGCAUAUCUUCAUUGGACUAUCCCCUCCUCUAUGUUUAUAAAGAGUUCAAAAUCAAUUAGUAAAAGAAACCACUCGCAAGCCACAAAACCAUUCUGCUUUCAACACAAGUAAAUAUAUCUGAUUGUUUAGGAAAACAAACAAGCAAAAUCUUAACCAGAAAAGAUUAAAAAGAGAUCAGAGGGGGGGAACAAUAGCCUCAGAUUAGCAUAUUGGCACAUUCAUCAACGCAAACAACAACCCGUGCAGAAGGAUCAACACGGUGCGCAUAAUUUGUUGCUGCAGCUCUGCCUCAUACGCUCUCAUCAUCAGCUUUUAUUAUGUUAAAUAAUUCACUCUGAAUUUCUAAAAUAGUUUAUAAGAUUGAAAAAAAAAAACAGAAGAAGAUUAAUUAAAAAAUCGGAUGAAAAUUUCAACUGCACAAAAAUCCAAACUCAGCCCAAUCCCAACUCUAAUUACCCGGCUAACGAACGACGGAUUCACAUUUUAAGCUUCGGCUGCGAUUAGCGUGGAGAGGAGAAAAUCAAAAGCGGCC
RNAcentral lists this long non-coding RNA (883 nucleotides) under Theobroma cacao (cacao). RNAcentral describes it as "long non-coding RNA (TCAC_LNC000572)". Lineage: Eukaryota; Viridiplantae; Streptophyta; Magnoliopsida; Malvales; Malvaceae. The record is from RNAcentral.